CGGGGGGAGCAAGCGUUGUUCGGAUUUACUGGGCGUAAAGGGCGCGUAGGCGGCGCAACAAGUCACUUGUGAAAUCUCCGGGCUUAACCCGGAGCGGCCAAGUGAUACUGUCGUGCUAGAGUGCGGAAGGGGCUACUGGAAUUCUCGGUGUAACGGUGAAAUGCGUAGAUAUCGAGAGGAACACCUGCGGCGAAGGCGGGUAGCUGGGCCGACACUGACGCUGAGGCGCGAAAGCCAGGGGAGCGAACGGGAUUAGAUACCCCGGUAGUCCUGGCCUUAAACGAUGGAUGCUUGGUGUCCGGGGUUACAUAGUCCCCGGGUGCUGGCGCUAACGCAUUAAGCAUCCCGCCUGGGGAGUACGGUCGCAAGACUG
RNAcentral lists this ribosomal RNA (373 nucleotides) under uncultured organism. RNAcentral's name for it is "bacterial SSU rRNA". It matches the Rfam family "Bacterial small subunit ribosomal RNA", at positions 526 to 896 of the family's 1533-position model. The record is from RNAcentral.